RNAcentral lists this ribosomal RNA (468 nucleotides) under uncultured bacterium. RNAcentral describes it as "partial 16S ribosomal RNA". It matches the Rfam family "Bacterial small subunit ribosomal RNA", at positions 28 to 507 of the family's 1533-position model. The record is from RNAcentral.
GACGAACGCUGGCGGCGUGCCUAACACAUGCAAGUCGAACGGAAAGGCCCUGCUUUUGUGGGGUGCUCGAGUGGCGAACGGGUGAGUAACACGUGAGUAACCUGCCCUUGACUUUGGGAUAACUUCAGGAAACUGGGGCUAAUACCGGAUAGGAGCUCCUGCUGCAUGGUGGGGGUUGGAAAGUUUCGGCGGUUGGGGCUGGACUCGCGGCUUAUCAGCUUGUUGGUGGGGUAGUGGCUUACCAAGGCUUUGACGGGUAGCCGGCCUGAGAGGGUGACCGGCCACAUUGGGACUGAGAUACGGCCCAGACUCCUACGGGAGGCAGCAGGGGGGAAUAUUGCACAAUGGGCGGAAGCCUGAUGCAGCAACGCCGCGUGCGGGAUGACGGCCUUCGGGUUGUAAACCGCUUUCGCCUGUGACGAAGCGUGAGUGACGGUAAUGGGUAAAGAAGCACCGGCUAACUACGUG